GUAGGUGGCAAGCGUUGUCCGGAAUUAUUGGGCGUAAAGCGCGCGCAGGCGGUCCUUUAAGUCUGAUGUGAAAGCCCACGGCUCAACCGUGGAGGGUCAUUGGAAACUGGGGGACUUGAGUACAGAAGAGGAAAGCGGAAUUCCAAGUGUAGCGGUGAAAUGCGUAGAGAUUUGGAGGAACACCAGUGGCGAAGGCGGCUUUCUGGUCUGUAACUGACGCUGAGGCGCAAAGCGUGGGGAGCAAACAGGAUUAGAUACCCUGGUAGUCCACGCCGUAAACGAUGAGUGCUAAGUGUUAGGGGGUUUCCCGCCCCCUUAGUGCUGCAGCUAACGCAUUAAGCACUCCGCCUGGGGGAGUACGGCCGCAAGGCUG
RNAcentral lists this ribosomal RNA (373 nucleotides) under uncultured organism. RNAcentral's name for it is "partial 16S ribosomal RNA". It matches the Rfam family "Bacterial small subunit ribosomal RNA", at positions 527 to 896 of the family's 1533-position model. The record is from RNAcentral.